GCCUGGGUGGCUGAGUUGGUUAAGCGUCUGACUUCAACUCAGGUCAUGAUUUUGCAGUUUGUGGGUUUGAGUCCCGUGUCAGGCU
RNAcentral lists this transfer RNA (85 nucleotides) under Felis catus (domestic cat). It matches the Rfam family "tRNA". Rfam says of the family: Transfer RNA (tRNA) molecules are approximately 80 nucleotides in length. Their secondary structure includes four short double-helical elements and three loops (D, anti-codon, and T loops). Lineage: Eukaryota; Metazoa; Chordata; Mammalia; Carnivora; Felidae. The record is from Rfam by way of RNAcentral.